Molecule: long non-coding RNA, 164 nt
Organism: Homalodisca vitripennis (glassy-winged sharpshooter)
Lineage: Eukaryota; Metazoa; Arthropoda; Insecta; Hemiptera; Cicadellidae
Exons: 2
Source: RefSeq, a predicted model, not a curated record
CAGUUUGGUGGAUGACUCAGAUGAGGAUCCAGAUUACACCCCUGGCCGUGACAAAAAGAACAAGUUAGCCUUAUUUUUGAACAAUGCAGCGAGCUCCAGUGAUGUCACAGAUGAAGACGAAGAGAACAUCCCUUCAACGUCUACAGCCACAAAAAAGAAGAUUC